Molecule: long non-coding RNA, 2760 nt
Organism: Xenopus laevis (African clawed frog)
Lineage: Eukaryota; Metazoa; Chordata; Amphibia; Anura; Pipidae
Exons: 5
Source: RefSeq, a predicted model, not a curated record
UUCUGGUGUUACUUCUUUAGUUCUGACAGCUAAUUUUCUUGGUAGUGCCAUGACAGUUCUGCAGGAAGAUGGAGCUUUUCACUUCCAAGCUAGUGAAAUGGAACUAAUGGAGGCAGGUGUAAUGUCCCAGUCUAUGCUUGGAGAAAUCUUUCCUGAGCUUUCACCAGCAUUUCAAAACUAUAAAGUAGAGAUCAAGGUGGAUGAACUACCAAUGGUCACCUUGGAGCCAGCCAAAGCCAUUCUCCACCUUUACUCUACCAUGGAAAUGAGGGCAGAUUUACAAGACACUUUAGAACAGUCUUUGUUUGUGAUAAAUCUGCACAUGAAUUUCAGAAUACAGUUUUCCAUUUAUAAAACAAGCCUCCACUGUGAGCUUUCACUAGACAGGUAAGAGAAUGGACCAUAUUCAUGACUUUCUACAGUGUUAACAGUGCAAAACAAUUCUGUCAUGUAGUAAAACGUGCUAAGAUUGUUCCAGGUGUAGCAAACCUCAGUAACCAAUCAUAUGCUUUGCUCUGCCAGACAGGAAACCGGGGAAUACUACCUGCUGAAUGGUUGUUGUGGGUUACUAUAACUUUCUCGUUUAAUACUUUAUCCUCUUAGUUUCAGUAGAGAAGGAAGGUACAAAUAUUGGCAUAUAAUUUGAAAAGACUUCCUUCAAUGUAUUCUCAAUCUUCAUAAAGAGUGAAAAAUAUAAAUAUUAGAAUAGGGUAGGGCUGGGACCCACAGCCUUUUUUUUUUUACAAGUGAGCCACAUUAAAAGGGCAUAAUAAGAACCAAAGUCAGUUUAGCUCACUUUAUUUUCAUUAAUGCAAGGCAUGGCAUUAGAGUUAUCAAGGCAAAGCUGCCCCAAGUUUGCUCCCCAGUUGCCUUCAAGUUGUCAUUGGUUUGGUCCAUCUUCCUGCUCCUCCUCUACUUUGGUGCAGCACCUAUGUACCAGUACUGUGCAUGACAUGGCUACAAACCUAUAAAUAAAGAAUUCUCCACUGAAAAAAUUCACUGGAGGAAUCUAGAAUGUAAGUGGUGGGGAUAAAAGUCUGUGGUAAGUCCAUUUAUAACAUGUAAGGUCAGGGUGCAAAGUCCAAAAUACAGACGCAAUCAGAGCACCUUUUGCUCCUCUUAGUUUUCCUGGACAUUUAGCAAGGGCAGAUUUAAAUGAAUGAUCAAUAUUAGCUAGACCUUUAGUUGUACUCAAAUAAUCUUUUCAAGAAUCAUUAUGAUUAGUUUUAAUUGGAUAUGCCUACUUACUGUAUCCAAGAUGAUUACAAUAAUGUACCUAGACCUAUUUCCUCUACUGCACGCUCAUCAUUUUUUAUUUUAUGUGCCAAGAACUUUCCUUACGCUGAACUCAUCCUCAGUUGGCCAGUUUGACGUAAGUACCAUGUGGCACAAGCCAAAAGAUUGACUAGGCUAUAAACUAAAAAUUAGUGGCCAUUUAAUGUAAAUUGUCAUACAUACAGUAUCUGUUAUGUUUAGGUUCAAAACCUUGAUGACUUUAUCAGAUCACUGAUUCAUGAACUGUACACAAACUCAGUGAAUGGUAUGUAUGUAGGUAACUUUAAGUUGUAUUAUAAUUGAUGUUCUAUUCCAUAAAUAUCCCAACACCAAUAUCGAGGUUCAAAUAGGUAUAUAGUUUUCACUCGCUCGAUCCGUUAUAAUAUAAAGCUUAAUAGCGGUUGAUAGCCGCUCACCGUUGGUAGUAAAUGGCUCGGGUGCACCUGCCCCGAACCCUGCUCUUGUUACACAAUCCUCCACACAUUAUUCCCAACGCUUGUUUUCACACAUAGAUAAAUACAAGGAUCGGCUUACCCUCUCCACGGGGUGACCCGGUUGCUGCUGCCCCGAGUCUGUUGCUAAGGGAGACGUUUUGACAAUACACAUCCAAGAGUCAAAAGAUCGUGCAGGUUCGUAUUCAGUUAAAAGAUCAUCCUUUAUUAAUUACAACGAAAUGUCUUACACAUUUCGUAACUAUGUUCUUCAUCAGAGACCUGAUCAGGAUGAUCUUUUAACUAAAUACGAACCUGCGCGAUCUCUUGACUCUGGAGUGUGCUGCAACGUCUUGGAUGUGUAUUAUAAUUGAUGUUCUAAAAAUAAACUCUUAUUUUGAUUUGAUUGUCUUGUUUAGGUGUACUCCAAGCAGGUAUCCCUCUACCUGAUAUGGCAACGAUAUUGGAUAUAGACUUCACCAAAGGUCACAUUAAAGCAAUCAAGAAUUUUCUGGUGUUUUCAGUCAAUGUUUGCAAACACUAAGUUAAAGAGUUGGAGCAGUCUAUUUGUUACUCAAGAAAACCGCAAUCAAAAUGUGCACAACUUCUAAAGUAAUUCUUCUUGACCAUGUCCAGUAUGGUCUCAUAAUCCCAUGAUGGUUUUUAUUUUCACACCUUUGGAUGAGUCCUGUAGUCCAGCCCACAACACAUAAAAUGAGCACCAUAUAUAAUGAACGGCAAAAAAAGUUUUAGUCCCAUCAAUAUUGUUUUAAAUCUUGUAUUGCAAAUGCUCAGAUGUCUUAUAACAUGUAGUUAUGAAUAAAUUCCAUUCUGUUGCUGUGCAAACUUUUUUUUGGUCACAUUAUAACAAGACAACUAUAAGCUCCAAUGGCGAGUCAGAGUACAGCACCAUUUUGCAUUAAAACCCUUUAUUCCAAACACAUAGCUCAGAUCAUGGAAAUCAGCAACAUUUCUGGCAACCAUUGGCCAUUUUUAAGCUUACAGACAACUGGCAAUCAAGCCUUUUUAUAGAAAGUGCCAUAAUGCCAUCUAG